This 204-nucleotide non-coding RNA is filed under the name Oscillospiraceae bacterium. Its description in RNAcentral is "6S RNA". It matches the Rfam family "6S / SsrS RNA". From Rfam's summary of the family: E. coli 6S RNA was the first non coding RNA to be sequenced, but its function was unknown until recently. Lineage: Bacteria; Bacillati; Bacillota; Clostridia; Eubacteriales; Oscillospiraceae. The record is from RNAcentral.
GAAACCCUGCCUUGUGCGAUAUGCUUGCAGCCUAUAUGUAACCCAACACACACUAUAAGGGAGCCUUUGCUCCGGUGACGGAUUGCAGACCUCCCGGUCAGGUCUUGUGCCUGAUUGGACGAAGGGAGCGUGAAAGCAUCGGGCGGCACCCACCUGCUUAGCGAGCAGGUUACAAUCGGCUGCAUACGGCUUGGCGGGGUUAUU